This 25-nucleotide transfer RNA is filed under the name Syzygiella subintegerrima. RNAcentral's name for it is "partial tRNA-Phe". The record is from RNAcentral. Lineage: Eukaryota; Viridiplantae; Streptophyta; Jungermanniopsida; Jungermanniales; Adelanthaceae.
GCCGGAUAGCUCAGUGUAGAGCAGA